GGGGAAUCUUGCGCAAUGGGCGAAAGCCUGACGCAGCGACGCCGCGUGGGCGAAGAAGGCCUUCGGGUUGUAAAGCCCUGUGGGGGAGAACGAACCGUACGGGGGCGAAUACCCUCCGUGCCUGACGGUACUCCUUUAGCAAGCAUCGGCUAACUCUGUGCCAGCAGCCGCGGUAAGACAGAGGAUGCAAACGUUGCUCGGAAUUACUGGGCGUAAAGCGCGUGUAGGCGGCUUGGUAAGUCGGACGUGAGAUCCCGGGGCUCAACCCCGGAAGGGCGCUCGAUACUGCCGAACUUGGGUCCUGAAGAGGAGAGCGGAAUUCCCGGUGUAGAGGUGAAAUUCGUAGAUAUCGGGAGGAACACCAGUGGCGAAGGCGGCUCUCUGGGCAGGUACCGACGCUGAGACGCGAAAGCGUGGGAAGCAAAC
RNAcentral lists this ribosomal RNA (426 nucleotides) under uncultured bacterium. RNAcentral describes it as "bacterial SSU rRNA". It matches the Rfam family "Bacterial small subunit ribosomal RNA", at positions 356 to 773 of the family's 1533-position model. The record is from RNAcentral.